AGUGAACGCUGGCGGCAGGCCUAAUACAUGCAAGUCGAACGGCAGCACAGCAGAGCUUGCUCUGUGGGUGGCGAGUGGCGGACGGGUGAGGAAUACAUGGGAAUCUGCCCAGUCGUGGGGGAUAACGUAUGGAAACGUACGCUAAUACCGCAUGCGCCCUACGGGGGAAAUCGGGGACCGCAAGGCCUGACGCGAUUGGAUGAGCCCAUGUUCGAUUAGCUAGUUGGCGGGGUAAAGGCCCACCAAGGCGACGAUCGAUAGCUGGUCUGAGAGGAUGAUCAGCCACACUGGAACUGAGACACGGUCCAGACUCCUACGGGAGGCAGCAGUAGGGAAUAUUGGACAAUGGGGGCAACCCUGAUCCAGCCAUGCCGCGUGAGUGAAGAAGGCCCUCGGGUUGUAAAGCUCUUUUGCCCGGAAAGAAAAGCAAUCGGUUAAUACCCGGUUGUUCUGACGGUACCGGAAGAAUAAGCACCGGCUAACUUCGUGCC
RNAcentral lists this ribosomal RNA (491 nucleotides) under uncultured bacterium. RNAcentral's name for it is "bacterial SSU rRNA". It matches the Rfam family "Bacterial small subunit ribosomal RNA", at positions 29 to 509 of the family's 1533-position model. The record is from RNAcentral.